RNAcentral lists this ribosomal RNA (708 nucleotides) under Streptomyces sp. RNAcentral's name for it is "bacterial SSU rRNA". It matches the Rfam family "Bacterial small subunit ribosomal RNA", at positions 90 to 811 of the family's 1533-position model. Lineage: Bacteria; Bacillati; Actinomycetota; Actinomycetes; Kitasatosporales; Streptomycetaceae. The record is from RNAcentral.
GAUUAGUGGCGAACGGGUGAGUAACACGUGGGCAAUCUGCCCUUCACUCUGGGACAAGCCCUGGAAACGGGGUCUAAUACCGGAUAUGAGCCUGGGAGGCAUCUCCCGGGUUGUAAAGCUCCGGCGGUGAAGGAUGAGCCCGCGGCCUAUCAGCUUGUUGGUGAGGUAAUGGCUCACCAAGGCGACGACGGGUAGCCGGCCUGAGAGGGCGACCGGCCACACUGGGACUGAGACACGGCCCAGACUCCUACGGGAGGCAGCAGUGGGGAAUAUUGCACAAUGGGCGAAAGCCUGAUGCAGCGACGCCGCGUGAGGGAUGACGGCCUUCGGGUUGUAAACCUCUUUCAGCAGGGAAGAAGCGAAAGUGACGGUACCUGCAGAAGAAGCGCCGGCUAACUACGUGCCAGCAGCCGCGGUAAUACGUAGGGCGCAAGCGUUGUCCGGAAUUAUUGGGCGUAAAGAGCUCGUAGGCGGCUUGUCACGUCGGGUGUGAAAGCCCGGGGCUUAACCCCGGGUCUGCAUUCGAUACGGGCUAGCUAGAGUGUGGUAGGGGGAGAUCGGAAUUCCUGGUGUAGCGGUGAAAUGCGCAGAUAUCAGGAGGAACACCGGUGGCGAAGGCGGAUCUCUGGGCCAUUACUGACGCUGAGGAGCGAAAGCGUGGGGAGCGAACAGGAUUAGAUACCCUGGUAGUCCACGCCGUAAACGGUG